UACGUAGGGGGCAAGCGUUAUCCGGAUUUACUGGGUGUAAAGGGCGUGUAGGCGGGACUGCAAGUCAGAUGUGAAAACUGAGGGCUCAACCCUCAGCCUGCAUUUGAAACUGUUUUUCUUGAGUGCUGGAGAGGCAAUCGGAAUUCCGUGUGUAGCGGUGAAAUGCAUAGAUAUACGGAGGAACACCAGUGGCGAAGGCGGAUUGCUGGACAGUAACUGACACUGAGGCACGAAAGCGUGGGGAGCAA
RNAcentral lists this ribosomal RNA (248 nucleotides) under uncultured Oscillospiraceae bacterium. RNAcentral's name for it is "partial 16S ribosomal RNA". It matches the Rfam family "Bacterial small subunit ribosomal RNA", at positions 524 to 771 of the family's 1533-position model. Lineage: Bacteria; Bacillati; Bacillota; Clostridia; Eubacteriales; Oscillospiraceae. The record is from RNAcentral.